GUCGUAACAAGGUUUCCGUAGGUGAACCUGCGGAAGGAUCAUUACCACACCGAUCCACGAUCUUUCUUCCCGCGAAGCGUCGUCCCGCGAUAGCUGGUGGAUUUGUUGUGUGGUGUCACUCGACUCAUGGUUGGGUGGCACCGCGUGACUGCCCACUGGUGGGACGGCAAACGAAAGUGCUGUCGAUGCAUGCAAGUGUGUCGAUGGUGCGCCCCGUCACUUUCACGACGUGAACCAGUCUUGACCCAAAGGAACUGAACCGAAAGGGGUUGAUGGCUGCGAACACGGCCAGCGACCCUAUCCAAAACUAAUACCUUACAACUUUCAGCGAUGGAUGUCUAGGUUCCCA
This 349-nucleotide unclassified non-coding RNA is filed under the name fungal sp. RNAcentral describes it as "partial internal transcribed spacer region". The stretch from base 1 to 44 matches the Rfam family "Eukaryotic small subunit ribosomal RNA", at positions 1788 to 1831 of the family's 1831-position model. Lineage: Eukaryota; Fungi. The record is from RNAcentral.